UUAACUAUUGCAUAGUACUCAGACAUCACUAAAAGGCACGGGUUGUGGGCCUCUGGCAGGCGCGCAGCAGCCGGAGCCGCUGGCACGAGGCGGCCUGCCAAAGCAACAGAGGUAGUUUAUUCAAGGGUGGAGGGUCAGGACCAGACUUCUCCGAGAGGUCUGACGACUCUAAACCCUACCCGGAGGUAGGGUAGCCCGCCACGAAGCACGCUUCGGUGGGGCGCUGCCUGUCCUUAUCUCUUGUAAUGAUCCUUCCGCAGGUUCACCUACGGAAA
Molecule: unclassified non-coding RNA, 275 nt
Filed under: uncultured fungus
Lineage: Eukaryota; Fungi
Description: sequence contains ITS1
Source: RNAcentral